GUGCCAGCAGCCGCGGUAAUACGGGGGGUGCGAGCGUUGUUCGGAUUCACUGGGUAUAAAGGGUGCGCAGGCGGACUGGUAAGUCAGAGGUGAAAUUUGUCGGCUCAACCGACAAACUGCCCCUGAAACUGCCAGUCUUGAGUCCGGGAGAGGUAGGUGGAAUUCCAGGUGUAGCGGUGAAAUGCGUAAAUAUCUGGAGGAACACCGGUGGCGAAGGCGGCCUACUGGCCCGGAACUGACGCUCAGGCACGAAAGCUAGGGGAGCGAACGGGAUUAGAAACCCUGGUAGUCC
Molecule: ribosomal RNA, 292 nt
Filed under: uncultured bacterium
Lineage: Bacteria
Description: partial 16S ribosomal RNA
Rfam family: Bacterial small subunit ribosomal RNA
Source: RNAcentral